AUUAGAUACCCUGGGUAGUCCGCACGGUAAACGAUGGAUGCCCGCCGUUGGGUAUUUUUAUUCAGUGGCCAAGCGAAAGCGUUAAGCAUCCCACCUGGGGAGUACGCCGGCAACGGUGAAACUCAAAGGAAUUGACGGGGGCCCGCACAAGCGGAGGAACAUGUGGCUUAAUUCGAUGAUACGCGAGGAACCUUACCCGGGCUUGAAUUGCAGAUGACGGAUCCAGAGAUGGUGACUUCCUUCGGGACAUCUGUGAAGGUGCUGCAUGGUUGUCGUCAGCUCGUGCCGUGAGGUGUCGGCUUAAGUGCCAUAACGAGCGCAACCCCUUUCGUCAGUUGCCAUCGGGUAAUGCCGGGCACUCUGGCGACACUGCCGCCGCAAGGUGUGAGGAAGGUGGGGAUGACGUCAAAUCAGCACGGCCCUUACGUCCGGGGCUACACACGUGUUACAAUGGGGCAUACAGAGAGUUGGUCAUGCGCAAGCAUGAUCGGAUCAUGAAAGUGUCCCUCAGUUCGGACUGGGGUCUGCAACCCGACCCCACGAAGCUGGAUUCGCUAGUAAUCGCGCAUCAGCCAUGGCGCGGUGAAUACGUUCCCGGGCCUUGUACACACCGCCCGUCAAGCCAUGGAAGCCGGGGGUGCCUGAAGUGCGUGACCGUAAGGAGCGCCCUAAGGUAAAACCGGUGACUGGGGCUAAGUCGUAACAAGGUACC
RNAcentral lists this ribosomal RNA (712 nucleotides) under uncultured bacterium. RNAcentral describes it as "bacterial SSU rRNA". It matches the Rfam family "Bacterial small subunit ribosomal RNA", at positions 777 to 1500 of the family's 1533-position model. The record is from RNAcentral.